Molecule: unclassified non-coding RNA, 287 nt
Filed under: Tolypocladium sp.
Lineage: Eukaryota; Fungi; Ascomycota; Sordariomycetes; Hypocreales; Ophiocordycipitaceae
Description: partial contains 5.8S ribosomal RNA, internal transcribed spacer 2, and large subunit ribosomal RNA
Rfam family: 5.8S ribosomal RNA (bases 1-71)
Source: RNAcentral
GUGAAUCAUCGAAUCUUUGAACGCACAUUGCGCCCGCCAGUAUUCUGGCGGGCAUGCCUGUUCGAGCGUCAUUUCAACCCUCAAGCCCCAGUCGGCUUGGUGUUGGGGACCGGCCCCGGCCGCCCCCCAAAUGCAGUGGCGACCUCGCCGCAGCCUCCCCUGCGUAGUAGCACAACCUCGCACCGGAGCGCGGAGACGGUCACGCCGUAAAACGCCCAACUUCUUAGAGUUGACCUCGGAUCAGGUAGGAAUACCCGCUGAACUUAAGCAUAUCAAUAAGCGGAGGA